GAGUUUGAUUCUGGCUCAGGACGAACGCUGGCGGCGUGCCUAAUACAUGCAAGUCGAGCGGGAGUUAUUAAGGAAGUGAUUCGUCAUGGAGAGAAUAACUUUAGCGGCGGACGGGUGAGUAACGCGUGAGCAAUUUGGCCUAUACAGGGGGAUAACACAGGGAAACUUGUACUAAUACCGCAUAAUAUCCAAGUAUCGCAUGAGAGUUGGAUGAAAGUGGAGACACGGUAAAGGGGGAGCUCGCGUUCUAUUAGAUAGUUGGUGAGGUAACGGCUCACCAAGUCUACGAUAGAUAGCCGACCUAAGAGGGUGAUCGGCCACACUGGAACUGAGACACGGUCCAGACUUCUACGGAAGGCAGCAGUAGGGAAUAUUGGGCAAUGGAGGAAACUCUGACCCAGCAACGCCGCGUGAAGGAAGAAGGUUUUCGGAUUGUAAACUUCUAUCCUUGGUGAAGAUAAUGACG
This 466-nucleotide ribosomal RNA is filed under the name Clostridiales bacterium canine oral taxon 157. RNAcentral describes it as "bacterial SSU rRNA". It matches the Rfam family "Bacterial small subunit ribosomal RNA", at positions 9 to 456 of the family's 1533-position model. Lineage: Bacteria; Bacillati; Bacillota; Clostridia; Eubacteriales. The record is from RNAcentral.